GCGAGAGCCCCCCCUCACAAGAUGGCCGCCAGGCUGCCACCCGGCCAGGGAGAGGGCGCUCCAGGCUGCCAGCCCCUCCUGCAGGCAGUCCAGAGAAGGAUGUCGCCUUCUCCGUCAGCAUGAGACACGCCUUCGUACCCUUCUCAGGUGCUGAACGGAGGGGUGGAUGUUUUCCGCUGCAUCGCGGCAGAGUGGAAGAACAUAACCCCAGAUGCUGUGAAGGACG
Molecule: long non-coding RNA, 226 nt
Organism: Osmerus eperlanus (European smelt)
Lineage: Eukaryota; Metazoa; Chordata; Actinopteri; Osmeriformes; Osmeridae
Exons: 3
Source: RefSeq, a predicted model, not a curated record